UCAAAAAAGAAAAGGAAGGACACUUCAUACUCAUCAAACGAAAAAAAUUACCAAAAUGAACUCUCAAUUCUGAACAUCUAUGCUCCAAAUGCAAGUGCAUCCACAUUCAUAAAAGAAACUUUACUAAAGCUCAAAGCAUACAUUGCACCACCCACAAUAAUAGUAGGACACUUAAACACCACUCUCUUCAAUUGACAGAUUGGAAACAGAAACUAAACAGACACAGUGAAACUAACAAGUUAUGAACCAACUGGAUUUAACAGACAUCUAUAGAACAUUUCAUUCUAAAACAAAAGAAUACACCUUCUCAGCAUCUUAUGGUACCUUCUCAAAAAUUGACCAUAUAAUUGGUCACAAAACAGGCCUCAAUAGAUACAAGGAAACUGAAAUAAUCCCAUACAUCCUAUCAAAUUACCAUGGACUAAGGCUGCUUCAAUAACCAAAAAAAAAAAAAAAA
Molecule: long non-coding RNA, 457 nt
Filed under: Rattus norvegicus (Norway rat)
Lineage: Eukaryota; Metazoa; Chordata; Mammalia; Rodentia; Muridae
Description: long non-coding RNA NONRATT029758
Source: RNAcentral